Molecule: ribosomal RNA, 406 nt
Filed under: uncultured bacterium
Lineage: Bacteria
Description: partial 16S ribosomal RNA
Rfam family: Bacterial small subunit ribosomal RNA
Source: RNAcentral
AUUGAACGCUGGCGGCAUGCCUAACACAUGCAAGUCGCACGAGUGUCGCACGGGUGAGUAAUGUCUGUGGAACUGCCCGAUGUAGGGGGAUAACUACUGGAAACGGUAGCUAAUACCGCAUACCAUCGGAUGUGCCCCGAUGGGAUUAGCUUGUCGGUGAGGUAACGGCGCACCUCGACGACGAUCCCUAGCUGGUCUGAGAGGAUGAGCAGCCACACUGGAACUGAGACACGGUCCAGACUCCGACGGGAGGCAGCAGUGGGGAAUAUUGCACAAUGGGCGAAAGCCUGAUGCAGCCAGGCCGCGUGUAUGAAGAAGGUCUUCGGGUUGUAAAGUACUUUCAGCGGGGAGGCGUUACCCGCAGAAGAAGCACCGGCUAACUCCGUGCCAGCAGCCGCGGUAAUAC